Molecule: long non-coding RNA, 407 nt
Organism: Aquila chrysaetos chrysaetos
Lineage: Eukaryota; Metazoa; Chordata; Aves; Accipitriformes; Accipitridae
Exons: 3
Source: RefSeq, a predicted model, not a curated record
CCAGUACCCGAGGCCAGAGCACAGCUCUGUGUGGUGAACCAGUGCUGCCAAACAAGACUCAGCUCCAGACUCAGCUUCAGGAUGCAGAAAGCCAAUUUAUUCCCACUGGCGUUGUCCUGAGGGCCCUGAAAAAUCUAGUCAGAUGCCAACCCUGAAUGGAAAGUUGGAAGAAGCUUCAUUCUUUUUUCUAGAGUCUAUGAGAAACAGUCAAAGAGAUUUAAAGAGUUCCCGAAGCCAGAGAAAGCUCUGAAGGAUUUUUGAUUCCCUUCUUCUUCUCCAUGGAAAAACAGAGUCUGCAGUGUUAGCACUGGUCCAGGAGAUUUGGAUACACUUUGCCAUUAUACGCAAUGUGUGUGAUGACUGUACACUCCCUCCACAGACAUUUUCCAAGUCAGCAGGGGUAGCUG